This is a long non-coding RNA of Acomys russatus (golden spiny mouse), 340 nucleotides long. RefSeq lists it as uncharacterized. The transcript is spliced from 3 exons. The record is from RefSeq and is a predicted model, not a curated record. Lineage: Eukaryota; Metazoa; Chordata; Mammalia; Rodentia; Muridae.
GCUUCCUUAGAGAUUCUCCACGUGAGGAGGGCUACAGGCUCCCUACAGUUCUCAAGCCAAGCUAAAAUGGUGAGUCCUGAGCCUGGAGGAGCGGAGGUGACGGAGCCAACACAGAGAACUCCAAGAAAACACUGUUACCUUCUUGAGCAGGCCUGCAUAGCAGAAUGAAGGUCAAGACAUGCAUGCAGAUGAACAGCAAGAAAGUCACACCAUUAAAACAACCAACUUAACUUCCCAAAGACCUACAAGGAAAAGGAGACCAAAAGGACAAACACAAAAGCAUGUACCUAAGAUGUUAAUUGUUACAGCUAUUGAAAGCAUGCAUCUAAGAAGUUGAUAC